GAGGUCCCGGGAGCGCCGAGCCCCAGAGCCCUUUCCUUCCUUCCUCGGCCCUUCCCUGCGCCUUCCCUCCUCUCUGCCUUCUUUCCUUCCUCUCUCCCUUUCUUCCUGAACUUACUGAGCGCCUACUCUGGGCCAGCCACGGUUCCAGGCACCGGGGGGGGGGGGGGGGGGGAGCCACAGGGGUGAACAACAGCCAGGCGCCAGGCCCUGGAGCCCGUGGUCCGCCGAGGGAGACAGACCUCACCCGUGCCAACACCUUGACAGACCAAGUCACAGAGAGCCACAACGAGGACAGAGCGGAAGUGAACAGUCGUCUGGUUGACUCUGCCUCGAUAAGCCUGCAACGCUUUCAAAAGAGCGGGACUGAUUCACCCCUUCCCCGAAUCCAAAGCUCAGAGACGUGGGAAUCCCCAAGGUCACGCAGCUCGCGCACACUGCUGGACACGGGGACACAGUGAUGGCGGAGACAGACAAGUACCCCUGCGCUGGUGAGGAGCCCCUGUCCUAAUGCGGAAAGUUCUUUUCAGACAUUAUUUGAGAGCCACCGUGCUGACCCAGCGGUUCAAGGCCUGGGCUCCACGUGGGAAUCACCUGGGGGAACUUCAGACAAAUGCCAAUGAUCUCUUGACGUGAGUGGGUAGAGGAUUCAUGAAGAAACAGACGCCAGAUGCCUGGCACAUGGCUGGACCCACUAGACGGUGCUUUUCCUGAGAGGUGAGUGGGGGCCCCACUGAGCCCCGGUCCAAACCCUUCAGCUUCAAGAUCCAGACUGAUUCCUCCCGCCAUUGCAAUGCGUCCCCUUCAAAAAGGAGCAGAAAGACUUCUUCUCUCCAAGUUUCAAUCAGACCACUUACUCAUUAAA
This is a long non-coding RNA of Prionailurus viverrinus (fishing cat), 862 nucleotides long. RefSeq lists it as uncharacterized. NCBI's taxonomy places the organism in Eukaryota, Metazoa, Chordata, Mammalia, Carnivora, Felidae. The transcript is spliced from 3 exons. The record is from RefSeq and is a predicted model, not a curated record.